AACACUGUUAACCUGCGGUACCUGCGGAGGGAUCAUCAUCGAAUUCAUAUCCCCCUCCUCUCCCGGAGGGGGACCCAUGAUAAACCCUUCUGUGCACCGUAACCGUUCACUUUGGCAGGCUUUGGUGGUGAGCGUGAGCUCGCCUCCAACCUCGCGUUCCCUCCUCCCUAAGGGGUGUUACGCGUGGCGGCCUACCGGAGUCCCAUUAAAAACUCGUUUUCGAACAGUCUGAAAUUUCCU
RNAcentral lists this unclassified non-coding RNA (240 nucleotides) under soil metagenome. RNAcentral describes it as "partial contains 5.8S ribosomal RNA, internal transcribed spacer 2, and large subunit ribosomal RNA". The record is from RNAcentral.